CCACAUCCAUCCCUUCAAUUACAAGGGAAAAUCAAUUACGACACCAUCAUCAUGCUAUCCCAACAGUUCAUUCACAUUUACUUCUUUGUUCGCUUCGCUCCUCGUAUACGGAGUCAUAGUAGAAGGAGCCGAACAUCGCAGCCGUGCGGAGUGUCGCCUCGUUGUAGGAAGUGCGCAUCCUGCUACGCGUAUAAUGGCGGGAAGAGGGGCUUCAGUGACAACGCCUACGAAAAAUCAUAUUGGGCGAAGUUACGUACUCGAAAUGUCCUACACUUACCAUAUGUAAAAUAACCACUAGUAACAAAGGCAACUAACUAACCAUCGCCAUCCGUUACGACGCAACCCUUGAACUCUGCAUCGUUGAUUGCGGCCGCAUAUGAGGGCUCCAUAGCUCCUCUAUCUAAUGAAUAUGAAUCAUACAAAACUGCAUAGUAUUCCACAUUUGUAUUUCACAUAUAAUUAAAGCGCAGAAUACGAAAGGAAAAAAAAUUGGGUUAACUGCCUUGUACCGUUCAAAUUCGG
RNAcentral lists this long non-coding RNA (522 nucleotides) under Olea europaea (common olive). Its description in RNAcentral is "long non-coding RNA (OEUR_LNC001145)". The record is from RNAcentral. Lineage: Eukaryota; Viridiplantae; Streptophyta; Magnoliopsida; Lamiales; Oleaceae.